AGCGCCUGCCUCGCAGAGCUUCCGCUUCCGGCCCUUCAGGCUCUGUCUCUGUGGAGACUCGGCUUUGGGAGGGAGAAAGAGGGACCUAGCGCGGGCCGCGCAGGCGCACGGUGGGCAGCUGCAAUGGCGCUGUCGUGUACCCUUAACAGGUAUCUGCUCCUAAUGGCGCAGGAGCAUCUGGAGUUCCGCCUGCCGGAAAUAAAGUCUUUGCUUUCGCUUUUUGGAGGUCAGUUUGCCAGCAGUCAAGAAACUUAUGGAAAGUCACCAUUUUGGAUUCUUAGCAUUCCCUCUGAAGAUAUUGCAAGAAAUUUAAUGAAACGGACAGUGUGUGCCAAGUCUAUAUUUGAACUAUGGGGUCAUGGACAAUCUCCUGAGGAGCUGUACAGUUCUCUUAAAAAUUACCCUGUGGAGAAGAUGGUUCCAUUUCUACAUUCGGACUCUACAUAUAAAAUAAAGAUUCACACUUUUAAUAAGACAUUGACACAAGAAGAGAAAAUCAAGCGAAUAGAUGCACUUGAAUUUCUGCCAUUUGAAGGGAAAGUGAAUUUAAAGAAACCGCAACAUGUAUUUUCUGUUUUGGAGGAUUAUGGUUUAGACCCAAACUGCAUCCCUGAGAAUCCACAUAAUAUUUAUUUUGGUAGAUGGAUUGCAGAUGGACAGAGAGAGCUUAUUGAGUCAUACAGUGUCAAAAAGAGACACUUUAUUGGAAAUACAAGUAUGGAUGCUGGUUUGUCAUUCAUUAUGGCUAACCAUGGAAAAGUGAAAGAAAAUGAUAUUGUCUUUGAUCCAUUUGUUGGAACAGGUGGCCUGCUGAUAGCAUGUGCUCAUUUUGGUGCAUAUGUGUAUGGGACAGACAUAGACUACAACACAGUUCAUGGCUUGGGAAAGGCUACUAGGAAAAACCAGAAGUGGAGAGGACCAGAUGAAAACAUUAGGGCCAAUCUUCGUCAAUAUGGUUUAGAGAAGUAUUACCUUGAUGUCCUGGUUUCAGAUGCAUCUAAACCUUCCUGGAGGAAGGGCACAUAUUUUGAUGCAAUCAUUACUGAUCCUCCAUAUGGUAUCAGAGAAUCUACAAGAAGAACAGGUUCACAGAAGGAGAUACCAAAGGGGAUAGAAAAAUGGGAAAAAUGUCCAGAAAGCCAUGUUCCUGUUUCCUUGAGUUAUCAUCUGAGUGAUAUGUUUCUUGACCUGUUAAACUUCGCAGCUGAGACCCUCGUUUUAGGUGGAAGACUAGUCUAUUGGUUACCGGUGUAUACGCCAGAAUACACUGAAGAGAUGGUGCCUUGGCACCCUUGCCUGGAACUCGUUAGCAACUGCGAGCAGAAGCUUUCCAGUCACACAUCAAGGCGCUUGAUCACAAUGGAAAAGGUGAAGAAAUUUGAGAAUCGGGACCAGUAUUCACAUCUGCUAAGUGAUCAUUUUCUGCCAUACCAAGGUCAUAAUUCCUUCCGUGAGAAAUAUUUUAGUGGGGUAACAAAAAGAAUUGCCAAGGAAGAAAAAUCCACCCAGGAAUGAAAAUUAAGAUUUUGACAAUGAAGAAAGAAUAAGAAUUUGAUUUAAAAAGACAUCUGGAUGUGAACUUUCAUGUAUGAUCCAGAAAAUAGACGGUUACCUUGGUGGUGUUCAUCAGAGGUGCCUCCUUCCCGUCUAUUCUGAUUGGCUAAGCUGAAAACCAGUGCCGUUUCAAUGGACUGCAAUGGCUGUUCAACCUCAGUGCCAGGAAUUAGACAUAGUCCUAUCCUCAAUGAGCUCAUGGUCUGGAGGAUGGCGGUGGUAUGAAACAAAGAGUGUUCUAAAUCAGGAGCCAAAAGAAGUUGGAGCAGCUGGGGCCAAUUUUUACAUGUAAAACUAACAGAGCAAUUUGGCUGUCUGAUGCUGAACUGAAGAGUGACUUUCCUUUAACUUUGUCAUCACUACAGCUUCCAACCUGCCCUGUUCCAGAUGUGCAACAACUGGGCUUUGAAAGAGUGUGACUAGAAAAUCAAACAAGGCACGUGGACACACAAAGGAGAUAAGAGGCUCCAAGAGAUCACGUUCCUUUCUUGUGUAAUUUCUUUCAUCUAAUUCUGUCAACAUUUACUGGAAACCUCUAUCUGGAACACAGAUUACCUCAAGUAAUCUGCCUGCCUCAGCCUCCCAAAGAACUGGGACUACAGGCAUGAGCCACCACGCCCAGACAAUUUAUAAUCCUAGUGAUCAUGUUAGAACAACAUCUGUUGUCAACCAAUCAUUGAGUAUUUGUUGAGGAUAUUCUUUGUGCUACAUUAAGUGAAUGGAGGCAGCAUAUCAAGUCUCUACCUUUUUCACAACCUAGUUUGGUGAGAUAAUGUUAGUAUAGAUUAAGCAAUUGUUACUAGUAAAAAUCAGUAUAUUAUUAAUACUAAGUUGUGUGGCACAGACUAGAACUCUCAGAAAAGAGGCUGCAAUCAUAAAUAUGGUGAGAGUCAGGGAUCCUUCUGGGCUUUAAAGAAAUGCUUAAUCAUAGACUGUGUACCUAUCCCCCUGCUGAACAAGACACAUCCUUAGUUUCAAGACAGACUGGGGUUUGGGAAUAUGGGUAGCUCUGUGCUAAUGCAUCACCCCACUGAGGAAACAGGGUUUGUAUUCUACUUACUGUGGCUUCAUUGCAUAAAUUUUAUGCUCAUUGGAGAGAAUAUUUACUCACAAUCUAGCCCAUCCAUUCUUAUAAAAGAGACCUCUGAAAGGUAAGAGUCACUUUCCUGAGGGAAAUGCAAGACUCUGGGAGAGAGAGGGCACUUUGAGAAUGGGAAAAUUGCCUGUGAAAUCAAAUUUAGGUGAAAAGAUAGCCCAGCAGCCAUAUGUAAAUCAUUCCCUCAUGUAGGAACAAUGCUGUGCACUUGGUAAUUCAAUAGAAAACAUUAGUCAUUUAUCAUCCUUAAUUAUCAGUCAUCUCUAACUGCAUCUGGUUUGCAUUUUUUAUUAGAAAGGUUUUUUUGUUUUUUUUUUGAGUUGGACUCAGGCAUUUUUUUUCUUCCGUUCCUGAUUUCAUUUUGUUAUUCUUUUUAAAAUUCCAUCACUAAUUCCCAUGAUGUGAAGAGGUUUCUAUUUCAUAAGACACAAUAAAUCAAGCAACGCCUCUGUU
Molecule: RNA transcript, 3103 nt
Organism: Pan troglodytes (chimpanzee)
Lineage: Eukaryota; Metazoa; Chordata; Mammalia; Primates; Hominidae
Gene: TRMT11
Gene name: tRNA methyltransferase 11 homolog
Exons: 17
Source: RefSeq, a predicted model, not a curated record